This 66-nucleotide ribosomal RNA is filed under the name Zasmidium proteacearum. RNAcentral's name for it is "partial 28S ribosomal RNA". It matches the Rfam family "Eukaryotic large subunit ribosomal RNA", at positions 1 to 64 of the family's 3401-position model. Lineage: Eukaryota; Fungi; Ascomycota; Dothideomycetes; Mycosphaerellales; Mycosphaerellaceae. The record is from RNAcentral.
GUUGACCUCGGAUCAGGUAGGGAUACCCGCUGAACUUAAGCAUAUCAAUAAGCGGAGGAAAAGAAA